AUUGAACGCUGGCGGCAUGCUUUACACAUGCAAGUCGAACGGUAACAGGCCGCAAGGUGCUGACGAGUGGCGAACGGGUGAGUAAUGCAUCGGAACGUGCCCAGUCGUGGGGGAUAACUACUCGAAAGAGUAGCUAAUACCGCAUACGAUCUAUGGAUGAAAGCGGGGGACCGUAAGGCCUCGCGCGAUUGGAGCGGCCGAUGUCAGAUUAGGUAGUUGGUGGGGUAAAGGCUCACCAAGCCAACGAUCUGUAGCUGGUCUGAUAGGACGACCAGCCACACUGGGACUGAGACACGGCCCAGACUCCUACGGGAGGCAGCAGUGGGGAAUUUUGGACAAUGGGCGCAAGCCUGAUCCAGCAAUGCCGCGUGCAGGAAGAAGGCCUUCGGGUUGUAAACUGCUUUUGUAUGGAACGAAACGGCUCUGGUUAAUACCCGGGGCUAAUGACGGUACCGUAAGAAUAAGCACCGGCUAACUACGUG
Molecule: ribosomal RNA, 482 nt
Filed under: uncultured bacterium
Lineage: Bacteria
Description: partial 16S ribosomal RNA
Rfam family: Bacterial small subunit ribosomal RNA
Source: RNAcentral